GACGAACGCUGGCGGCGUGCUUAACACAUGCAAGUCGAACGGAAAGGCCCUUCGGGGUCCUCGAGUGGCGAACGGGUGAGUAACACGUGGGUGAUCUGCCCUGCACUUUGGGAUAAGCCUGGGAAACUGGGUCUAAUACCGGAUAGGUCCACGGCAUUCAUGUGCUGUGGUGGAAAGCUUUUGCGGUGUGGGAUGGGCCCGCGGCCUAUCAGCUUGUUGGUGGGGUAAUGGCCUACCAAGGCGACGACGGGUAGCCGGCCUGAGAGGGUGACCGGCCACACUGGGACUGAGAUACGGCCCAGACUCCUACGGGAGGCAGCAGUGGGGAAUAUUGCACAAUGGGCGCAAGCCUGAUGCAGCGACGCCGCGUGAGGGAUGACGGCCUUCGGGUUGUAAACCUCUUUCGCCAGGGACGAAGCGCAAGUGACGGUACCUGGAGAAGAAGGACCGGCCAACUACGUG
RNAcentral lists this ribosomal RNA (462 nucleotides) under uncultured bacterium. RNAcentral describes it as "partial 16S ribosomal RNA". It matches the Rfam family "Bacterial small subunit ribosomal RNA", at positions 28 to 507 of the family's 1533-position model. The record is from RNAcentral.